AUUCGAAUGGUGACCGAAUCGCAC
RNAcentral lists this non-coding RNA (24 nucleotides) under Arabidopsis thaliana (thale cress). The record is from RNAcentral. Lineage: Eukaryota; Viridiplantae; Streptophyta; Magnoliopsida; Brassicales; Brassicaceae.